Molecule: ribosomal RNA, 269 nt
Filed under: uncultured prokaryote
Description: partial 16S ribosomal RNA
Rfam family: Bacterial small subunit ribosomal RNA
Source: RNAcentral
UACGGAGGGUGCAAGCGUUAUUCGGAUUUAUUGGGCGUAAAGAGCGUGUAGGCGGUAGGGAUAGUCAGAUGUGAAAGCCUUUUGCUCAACAAAAGAAGUGCGUCUGAAACUACCCAACUUGAGUACGAGAGAGGAAAGUGGAAUUCCCAGUGUAGAGGUGAAAUUCGUAGAUAUUGGGAGGAACACCUGUGGCGAAGGCGACUUUCUGGAUCGAUACUGACGCUGAGACGCGAAAGCGUGGGAAGCAAACAGGAUUAGAUACCCGCGUA